Long non-coding RNA from Clupea harengus (Atlantic herring), 1444 nucleotides. The record is from Ensembl. Lineage: Eukaryota; Metazoa; Chordata; Actinopteri; Clupeiformes; Clupeidae.
CAGCUCUCUGGAGAAGGACUGGAGCGAGCUGGCCUUCCUGCUUCAACUCAGCCCCGACCUGGAAACACUCAAGCUGGACUGCCAGGGUCUGGACGCAGAGGGGCUACGCAGACUUCUGCCCAUGCUUCCUCUCUUCUGCACCCUGAGCCUUGGGCAGAAUCCCCUUGGCCCUGAGGGAGCCACUGUGCUGUCCAGGGCACUUAGGACUCCAACUUGCCGUGUCGAGAGGCUGUGUAAGGACUGGACUAGGCUGUGAGGGGGUCAGGAUCCUGACAGAAGCACUGAAAGACAACCAAACUGUUGUUGACCUCAGAAUGGCUAUCAAUGACAUUGGAGACACAGGAGCAGGAUAUCUUGCUGACUUACUGAAGACCAAUUGUGCUUUGAAAGAUAUCAGACUCCGUGACAACCAGAUAACAGACAAAGGGGCUGAACUUCUGAUGGAUGCUCUGACAGAGAAUGUAACUCUUCAGUAUCUAUGGCUCUUUGACAACAAGAUCACUAAGGAUGGUGUCAAGAGGCUCAAAGAAUUUUCUAAGACUAGAACCAAUCUUGACAUUAAAGUGUGUUUCUAAAUAUAGUACAUAAAGAUGGGAGAUUAUAAAGAUCUAUACAGAGAUACAAUGUAAUUCAUGAAACAAGUUUUAUAUUUACAUUUUAUUAAGGUCUAACCAUUCCGACUGACACUUUGAAUGAUUAUGUUGUAUUGAUGAAGGUUGGUUUUCAUCUCAGAGAAUACUGGCACGAGGGCUUUAUGAAAAGGGAAUCAUUCAAAAAAGAGACAUUGUCCUCUUUAGAUUUUAAAUAUUGCUGUAACUUUUCUAUGUUGUGUUAUAUUUGUUUUGUAUCUUUUAUGAUUGCAUAUGCUUCAUUUAAGUCUUUUAUAAAUUAGUUUUAUAAUUCCAUGAUUAAAGGCCUCAAUUGCCAUAAGCUCUGUGCCAUAAGUGAUGUGGGAUAAUAAGUCUGUUGAUUAAUUUACAGCGGUCAUUUUCGAAAGGUCAAGAUUUUUGCUCUCGUCACAUGUUCAAGUGGAAAGUGUUUUAUUUGUACUUGUUAGUUUGAGCUGAAAACAGUAGCCUAUUCUUCAUCAUUAUUUCCAUUGUGAUGAUAUCUGAAAAUCUUGGUUUUGUGAAUGAUAAGGUUAGUAGACUUCAAAAGUGCCUUAAAGUGAUGUGGUAAACGUUUAGCUCAGAAAGGUCUGUGCGUCAUGAAACGUGACUUCCAUGCAAUGUUUACCAUUGAGUCUGCACUCCUCAGGGAUAUGCAGUAAGCAGUAUUUUGUACAUUUAAAUGCUUACCAGUAGAAAGUGUUGGACGUGGACAUGUCCUCGAAAUUGCAUUUGUUACCUAAAUGUUUGGGGCUGUUUUUAAUGUAAUCAGGAAUUGAUUAAAUGAAAUAAAUUGAUGUGUUCCAAUAAUAAAAUACAGGAAACUAAGAGCAGAG